RNAcentral lists this ribosomal RNA (1065 nucleotides) under uncultured Sporichthya sp. RNAcentral describes it as "bacterial SSU rRNA". It matches the Rfam family "Bacterial small subunit ribosomal RNA", at positions 337 to 1396 of the family's 1533-position model. Lineage: Bacteria; Bacillati; Actinomycetota; Actinomycetes; Sporichthyales; Sporichthyaceae. The record is from RNAcentral.
UCCUACGGGAGGCAGCAGUAGGGAAUAUUGCGCAAUGGGCGAAAGCCUGACGCAGCGACACCGUGUGAAGGAUGAAGAUUUUCGGAUCGUAAACUUCUGUCAAUUGGGGACGAAGGUAGUAGGGUUAAUAGCUUUUACUAUUGACGGUACCCAAUAAGGAAGUCUCGGCUUACUCCGUGCCAGCAGCCGCGGUAAGACGGGGGAGGCAAGCGUUGUCCGGAAUUAUUGGGCGUAAAGAGCGCGUAGGGUGGUUUGUAAAGUCAUUUGUGAAAACUUUAGGCUUAACUUAAAGACUGCAAGUGAUACUGACAAACUUGAGUACAGUAGAGGAAAGUGGAAUUCCUGGUGUAGCGGUGAAAUGCGCAGAUAUCAGGAAGAACACCAGUGGCGAAGGCGGCUUUCUGGGCUGUUACUGACGCUGAGGUGUGAAAGCUAGGGGAGCAAACAGGAUUAGAUACCCUGGUAGUCCUAGCCGUAAACGAUGGACACUAGGUGUGGGGAGUUAUCGACGCUCUCUGUGCCGAAGCUAACGCAUUAAGUGUCCCGCCUGGGGAGUACGGUCGCAAGACUAAAACUCAAAGGAAUUGACGGGGGCCCGCACAAGCGGCGGAGCAUGUGGCUUAAUUCGACGCAACGCGAAGAACCUUACCAAGGCUUGACAUCGUAUUGACAAAUGCAGAAAUGUAUCUCCUUCGGGCAAUAUGACAGGUGGUGCAUGGCUGUCGUCAGCUCGUGUCGUGAGAUGUUGGGUUAAGUCCCGCAACGAGCGCAACCCUUGUCCCAUGUUGCCAGCAUUUAGUUGGGCACUCUUGGGAGACUGCCGGUGUAAAACUGGAGGAAGGUGGGGAUGACGUCAAGUCAUCAUGCCCUUUAUGCCUUGGGCUGCACACGUGCUACAAUGGUCGGUACAAAGAGAAGCGAUAUCGUGAGGUGGAGCAAAUCUCAUAAAACCGAUCUAAGUCCGGAUUGUAGGCUGAAACUCGCCUACAUGAAGUGGGAGUCGCUAGUAAUCGUGGAUCAGCACGCCACGGUGAAUACGUUCCCGGGCCUUGUACACACCGCCAU